Molecule: ribosomal RNA, 253 nt
Filed under: uncultured bacterium
Lineage: Bacteria
Description: partial 16S ribosomal RNA
Rfam family: Bacterial small subunit ribosomal RNA
Source: RNAcentral
UACGAGUGGAGCAAGCGUUGUUCGGAAUCACUGGGCGUAAAGCGCGUGUAGGCGGUUUGACAAGCCAGAAGUGAAAGCCUGGGGCUUAACCCCAGAACGGCUUUUGGAACUGUCUGACUAGAGGUCAGGAGAGGCAAGCGGGAUUCCCAGUGUAGAGGUGAAAUUCGUAGAUAUUGGGAGGAACACCGAUGGCGUAAGCAGCUUGCUGGACUGAAACUGACGCUGAGGCACGAAAGCGUGGGGAGCAAACAGG